CCUACGGGGGGCAGCAGUGAGGAAUAUUGAUCAAUGGGCGUAAGCCUGAACCAGCCAAGUCGCGUGAGGGAUGAAGGUUCUAUGGAUCGUAAACCUCUUUUAUAAGGGAAUAAAGUGUGGGACGUGUCCUGUUUUGUAUGUACCUUAUGAAUAAGGAUCGGCUAACUCCGUGCCAGCAGCCGCGGUAAUACGGAGGAUCCGAGCGUUAUCCGGAUUUAUUGGGUUUAAAGGGUGCGUAGGCGGCCUUUUAAGUCAGCGGUGAAAGUCUGUGGCUCAACCAUAGAAUGGCCGUUGAAACUGGGAGGCUUGAGUAUGUUUGAGGCAGGCGGAAUGCGUGGUGUAGCGGUGAAAUGCUUAGAUAUCACGCAGAACCCCGAUUGCGAAGGCAGCCUGCCAAGCCAUGACUGACGCUGAUGCACGAAAGCGUGGGGAUCAAACAGGAUUAGAUACCCCAGUAGUC
Molecule: ribosomal RNA, 460 nt
Filed under: uncultured bacterium
Lineage: Bacteria
Description: partial 16S ribosomal RNA
Rfam family: Bacterial small subunit ribosomal RNA
Source: RNAcentral